RNAcentral lists this ribosomal RNA (357 nucleotides) under Euglossa iopoecila. RNAcentral's name for it is "partial 16S ribosomal RNA". Lineage: Eukaryota; Metazoa; Arthropoda; Insecta; Hymenoptera; Apidae. The record is from RNAcentral.
GUACUAAGGUAGCAUAAUCAAUUGUCUUUUAAUUGAAGAAUGGAAUGAAAGAAUUAAUGAAAUAUAUACUGUCUCAAUUAUAAAAAUUAAUUUAAAUUUUUAGUUAAAAUGCUAAAUUUAAAUUAUGGGACGAUAAGACCCUAUAGAAUUUUAUAUUAAAUUAUUUAUAAUAAUUAAUUAUUAAAUUAUUAUAAAUAAUUUGAUAUUUAAUUGGGAGGAUUUAUAAAUUUAAUAAACUUUAUAUUAAUAAUUAAACUUUGAUUUAAGAAAAUUUAAUUUGAUAUAGUAGUAUUAAUUAAAAAAAAAAAUUACCUUAGGGAUAACAGCGUAAUAUCUUUUUAAAGUACAAAUUAAUAA